AAAUGAGCGUGCUCGAUGGAUCAGUGCUCUGGGCCAGAGUGUCAACAACAAGAAGAGUCAGGACAGAAUCAAUGCCAUGCAGAUGGAGGUGAUCAGAACUUACACAGCCAAGCAACCAGAUGAAUUGUCCCUGCAGGUGGCUGAUGUGGUGCUGGUCUCGCAGACUGUAGAAGAUGGCUGGUGUGAAGGUGAGCGACUGCGUGAUGGAGAAAGAGGGUGGUUCCUCGCAGAGUGUGCCGAACCAAUCACAUGUCAGGCC
Seriola dumerili (greater amberjack) is the source of this 259-nucleotide long non-coding RNA. RefSeq lists it as uncharacterized. Lineage: Eukaryota; Metazoa; Chordata; Actinopteri; Carangiformes; Carangidae. The record is from RefSeq and is a predicted model, not a curated record. The transcript is spliced from 3 exons.